AGAACGAACGCUGGCGGCAGGCCUAACACAUGCAAGUCGAACGAUAAGCCACCUUCGGGUGGUGGACAGUGGCAGACGGGUGAGUAACGCGUGGGAACGUACCUUUCGGUUCGGAAUAACCCAGGGAAACUUGGGCUAAUACCGGAUACACCCUUCGGGGGAAAGAUUCAUUGCCGAAAGAUCGGCCCGCGUCGGAUUAGCUAGUUGGUGGGGUAAAAGCCUACCAAGGCGACGAUCCGUAGCUGGUCUGAGAGGAUGAUCAGCCACACUGGGACUGAGACGCGGCCCAGACUCCUACGGGAGGCAGCAGUGGGGAAUAUUGGACAAUGGGCGCAAGCCUGAUCCAGCCAUGCCGCGUGGGUGAAGAGGCCUUAGGGUUGUAAAGCUCUUUUGCCAGGGAUGAUAAUGACAGUACCUGGAGAAUAAGCUCCGGCUAACUCCGUGCCAGCAGCCGC
This 455-nucleotide ribosomal RNA is filed under the name uncultured bacterium. RNAcentral describes it as "SSU rRNA". It matches the Rfam family "Bacterial small subunit ribosomal RNA", at positions 26 to 518 of the family's 1533-position model. The record is from RNAcentral.